UACGUAGGGGGCGAGCGUUAUCCGGAUUCAUUGGGCGUAAAGCGCGCGUAGGCGGCGCGCCAAGCGGAACCUCUAACCUCGGGGCUCAACCUCGAGCCGGGUUCCGAACUGGCGCGCUCGAGUUCGGUAGAGGCAGGCGGAAUUCCCGGUGUAGCGGUGGAAUGCGCAGAUAUCGGGAAGAACACCGAUGGCGAAGGCAGCCUGCUGGGCCGACACUGACGCUGAGGUGCGAAAGCUAGGGGAGCGAACAGGAUUAGAUACCCUGGUAGUCCUAGCCGUAAACGAUGGACGCUAGGUGUGGGGAGGAUCGCCUCUCCGUGCCGAAGCCAACGCAUUAAGCGUCCCGCCUGGGGAGUACGGCCGCAAGGCUAAA
This 373-nucleotide ribosomal RNA is filed under the name uncultured bacterium. RNAcentral describes it as "bacterial SSU rRNA". It matches the Rfam family "Bacterial small subunit ribosomal RNA", at positions 524 to 898 of the family's 1533-position model. The record is from RNAcentral.